GCGGUGGAGCAUGUGGUUUAAUUCGAAGCAACGCGAAGAACCUUACCAGGCCUUGACAUGCUAGGAACCGGGUGAAGCCUGGGGUCGCCCCGCGAGGGAGCCCUAGCACAGGUGCUGCAUGGCCGUCGUCAGCUCGUGCCGUGAGGUGUUGGGUUAAGUCCCGCAACGAGCGCAACCCCCGCCGUUAGUUGCCAUCAUUUAGUUGGGCACUCUAGAGAGACUGCCGAGGAUAACUCGGAGGAAGGUGGGGAUGACGUCAAAUCAUCAUGCCCCUUAUGUUCUGGGCUACACACGUGCUACAAUGGCUGGUACAAAGAGACGCAAAGCGGUGACGUGGAGCAAAUCUCAAAAACCAGUCCCAGUUCGGAUUGUAGGCUGCAACUCGCCUACAUGAAGUUGGAGUUGCUAGUAAUCGCAGAUCAGAAUGCUGCGGUGAAUGCGUUCCCGGGUCUU
This 453-nucleotide ribosomal RNA is filed under the name uncultured Eubacteriales bacterium. RNAcentral describes it as "bacterial SSU rRNA". It matches the Rfam family "Bacterial small subunit ribosomal RNA", at positions 929 to 1382 of the family's 1533-position model. The record is from RNAcentral. Lineage: Bacteria; Bacillati; Bacillota; Clostridia; Eubacteriales.